GAUUUUAUCUUUGUAUUUGCAAAAACAAAAGGCCAAAAAAAUAAUUAUGUAUUUGUUUUUACAAAGUUUGUCACAUAAUUUAUAAGAAUGACUCUUCUUGCAUAUUAAAAACGAUACCAGAUGGAAUGUGAAACCCUAGUGAGUAAGACUGAUGCACAGCAGCUAUGCUUCAACGAAGAAUUGCAAAUAGUAUCGGAGGAAGAAGAGUUGCUUGUCGUGGGAUCAUUCCGUCUCAGUGUGGAGGAAAUGGAUGUACCCGACAGGCUGCUGGUUCAUAUAUCUUCCGAGAUGAGAACUAAGGAAACGGAAAGCAAGACGUCGAGCACAAGCAUCGUGGACUUCAACCUGGCCACGUGGGACGAGAAGCGAGUGAGCAGAGUGAGGUGCCGGAAGCUGGUCAGGAACCAGAGCCUGUAUUUGGGACGCUGCGGGGAGACGCUGCACUGUGCGGCUACUGUCGACGAUGUGCGACAAGCCACCAGCUAUCCCGUGGCAGAUGUCCCGGACUUGUUGGGAGACGGUGCUUACAUUGUGAUGCUGCGGUUCAUUGUGCUAGAAGGUUUCCAAGGAGAUAUUAAAACUUCAAUGAUUACAUUGAAUGGACAAAAGGUUUCUUGUCAGUACACUGCUAAAGAACAAGAUGUACUCAUUAAUGGGAAGAACAUUCCUGUUGCUGUGGUUGUCUGUAAGGCUGUCAUCGAUGAGAAAGAACAGGUGACAGUAACAACACUGAAUAUGAAAGGCAGAUUAAUGGAACACAAGUGGGUUUCUACACCCUAUAAAAUCAAGCCAAGUCCUAAAUCAAAAACUGUUGAUGCUUGGCAAGAAGAUGAACAAAUGAUGUCGCUGUACCUGGACCACCUAAAUCGAAAACGAUUCGAUAUCAGAUCAUAUCUGACUCGCAAUCCAGAAAUUCGAGCCAUCCUAGCAGAUAUCAUGACCAAAGCAGUAAUGCUACAACCGCCUGACGUUGCAACAUUCAUGAGAGAACAACUGUGUGCGCUGGGAAGGAAGCAACCAGCUGUGAUUACAGAUGUGACUCCAGGCAACCAAUUGGACGAACAAGACAAAAACCAAGAUGUUGAACAAUAACAGUGUUGUUGAGUCAUUCAGUAACCUACAUCAAUUUUGUCUUAAAAAAUUUUGGUGACUCUGCUACCAUGAUCCCAGUAUCUAUCAGACAUUUGACACAGGAGAGUUUAGUGCCUCUACAACCUCCAUGCUACCUCUCGAAAUGUACAAAAUGAUGCAUUCAUUCUGACAGAUCGCCGCGACCAAGAUCACAACAUGGACCAUCAGAAGAGGCAUUUCCUUGAUAAUGUGAAAAAUGUUGAAUAAAUACUUUGUAUGCUUCAAGAUCAUGAUAAUGACGAUAAUGGAGACUCAUUUGAUGAAGAGAUAGAUACAGAUGAAGAUGUCCAUUUGGAAGAUAUUGCGAUUCUGUAAUGUACCAAUAAAUAUAUUUUCAAAAUUCAAAA
RNA transcript from Bacillus rossius redtenbacheri, 1478 nucleotides. It is a transcript of the gene named ciliogenesis-associated TTC17-interacting protein-like, with no coding region annotated. The record is from RefSeq and is a predicted model, not a curated record. Lineage: Eukaryota; Metazoa; Arthropoda; Insecta; Phasmatodea; Bacillidae. The transcript has 8 exons.